AGCGAACGCUGGCGGCAGGCCUAAACAUGCAAGUCGAACGCCUGUAGCAAUACAGGAGUGGCAGACGGGUGAGUAACACGUGGGAACGUACCCUUGGUUCGGAACAACACAGGGAAACUUGUGCUAAUACCGGAUAAGCCCUUACGGGGAAAGGAUUUAUCGCCAGAGGAUCGGCCCGCGUCUGAUUAGCUUGUUGGUGAGGUAACGGCUCACCAAGGC
This 219-nucleotide ribosomal RNA is filed under the name uncultured bacterium. Its description in RNAcentral is "partial 16S ribosomal RNA". It matches the Rfam family "Bacterial small subunit ribosomal RNA", at positions 29 to 274 of the family's 1533-position model. The record is from RNAcentral.